Molecule: long non-coding RNA, 408 nt
Filed under: Zostera marina
Lineage: Eukaryota; Viridiplantae; Streptophyta; Magnoliopsida; Alismatales; Zosteraceae
Description: long non-coding RNA (ZMAR_LNC005942)
Source: RNAcentral
CUGAUUUCAUCAACAAGCGGUAAAAAUUUCCUCUUCUGUGAGCCUGGUUUGAUUAAUGAUCGCCGGCCGGGUCUCCAUUGACAUUCUAUGAGCUGCCUUAAAUUUCUUGGGCUUGAACAAUGUUUCUAUAUCUUGAAGCAUCCUUGCUUGUAUUUAUUUAGAGGUCUUGAUUUGCUUUCCUUCCAUCUUGCAUUUUGAUGGUACCCUGGCCCUGGGACCAUACAAGCCCAUGAAUUCGAAGGUCGUGGAAUAGUAUAAAUGUCCCUAAGAAUAUUGGAGAAAGGACUUUUACCACUUUUUGUAUUCUUACACCUGUGAUAGAAAGAGAGGAAUUAAGAGAGCACUUGGCGAUCGUGUGUAAGUAUGAGGUAGAGUAAGCGCUUUGCACUUAUACCAUUAGUGGAGAAC